Molecule: ribosomal RNA, 604 nt
Filed under: Hepatozoon canis
Lineage: Eukaryota; Apicomplexa; Hepatozoidae
Description: bacterial SSU rRNA
Rfam family: Eukaryotic small subunit ribosomal RNA
Source: RNAcentral
AAUAGCCAAUGCAUGCUUUUACAGUAUGGAAAUUGGUGAUUUAUAAUAACUUGGCAAAUCGCAAAGUGAAAACAGGCGAUAAAUCAUUCAAGUUUCUGACCUAUCAGCUUUCGACGGUAUGGUAUUGGCUUACCGUGGCAGUGACGGUUAACGGGGGAUUAGGGUUCGAUUCCGGAGAGGGAGCCUGAGAAACGGCUACCACAUCUAAGGAAGGCAGCAGGCGCGCAAAUUACCCAAUUCUAACAGUUUGAGAGAGGUAGUAACAAGAAAUAACAAUACAAGGCAAUUAAAAUGCUUUGUAAUUGGAAUGAUAGAAAUUUAAACCCUUUUUAAAGUAUCAAUUGGAGGGCAAGUCUGGUGCCAGCAGCCGCGGUAAUUCCAGCUCCAAUAGCGUAUAUUAAAAUUGUUGCAGUUAAAAAGCUCGUAGUUGAAGUUCUGCUAAAAGUAACCGGUCUGCUUUUAAUAAAAGUGGUAUCUUGGUGUGUAUUUAGCAAUGAUGUCCUUUGAAGUGUUUUUUACUUUAUUGUAAUAAAGCAUAUUCAGGACUUUUACUUUGAGAAAAUUAGAGUGUUUCUAGCAGGCCGACGCUUUGAAUACUGACGGG